UUUUUUCUAAUUCUUUUUUAUUUGUAAAGCACACCCCAGUACCCCACGGGUGGCUCCGUUCCGGCGUGGGGCCUCCCCCCCAGCCCCACGGGAGAAAAUAGUUUUGUGCUUUACAAAAAAAAAAAAAUUAUAACAAAAAAAUUAUGCGAAAUAAUUUCAAAUAUAUAUCUUCUUUUUUUUUUUUUAAUUGGCAGCCAGCUUUUUCUAUUUUUUUUUUUUUUGUUUUAAAUCCCCCCCUGGCUGGUUACUCGCUUUGUACAGGAAAUUUGAAUAUCCUGGCAAAGGGGUGACUUCCCAGCUCGGGGAUGGGAGCAACAUGCACCGUGUGGGGGCGGGGGGUUCCCCUUUCGAAUUUCUCCUGAACACACUAUUUUUUUCCCCCCACGAGCACCAGGUACAUAAAGACAAUUUUUUAAAUUUUUUUUUUCCAUUUAGAGAGUGAGUUUCUCAGGGUGAAAAUAUGAAUUUCUCCCUCCCCAAAAAAGAGCAGAAUCAGGCGGGUGUGUUGCAGCGUUGGGGUGAGGGUCCAUCCACCACUCAUCGUUUUCUGCUCUAAGAAAAGCAAAGAGCCCCAUUGCUCCCCGUCGGCUGCGAAAGCCUGACUUUGGCUAAUCCACUCUGGUGGGAAAUACACUAAAACUGAACUGCUAAUGCAAUAAACAUUUAUGAAAUAUAAGAGGGAAGCUUUAAGUAACGCUUCAGGCAAAAUGACCCAAAUGUAUUAAAAAAAAAAUAAAAUUACUAUGUGCUUGUUAUGUUUUGAAUUAAUGUCCAUGUGAUGGAAUUUUUUUUAACUUUCUCUUUUUUUUUUUUUUUUCCUGUUUUUAACAAAUAAACUUUAUAGGAGCCAGGCUUCCAGAUCUGUCCCUUGUUGUUUAAAAGUGGAGGAGAUGACAAUGCAAAAAAAAAAAAAAAAAAAAAAUGGAAGUAACAAGAAGCAUCCUACUUUUCUUCUCCUCAGCAGUGUUGAGAAAAAACUCUGGAUCCUGGAAUUUUACCGUGGAUGUCACUGGUUUUUCUGGAGUACUAUCCCAUGGGAAGAGUGUGUCCUUGCCUCCCAGCUGAGCCAGCGCAGAGGAGCUGCUGCAUCCCCAGGUAGGAUCACAUUAACCAAAAGCCCUACAAAGAUAACAAACGCAGAGUCUGCCUUUGCUGUCAGAAACGCUUACGGAAAAUAUGACUGA
This 1184-nucleotide long non-coding RNA is filed under the name Calidris pugnax (ruff). Its description in RNAcentral is "lncRNA (ENSCPUG00000014895.1)". The record is from RNAcentral. Lineage: Eukaryota; Metazoa; Chordata; Aves; Charadriiformes; Scolopacidae.